CUUUUUUCCCCAUGUGUCCCUGGAUUUGGUUCACUUACUUAAAUUGACCUGAAGGAACUCCUCAUAACCAGUGGAAUAUUUCUGACCCUGGGCAUAAAAUAGUUACCAGAAAUCAAACUCAGGACCUUGUGCUUGACAGGCAGGAUUUCCUUUAUUUCAGAAGAAUAACUUUGCUGCACUGAUUGCUGAUACUUCUCCUCUUCAGAAAGCUCCUCAGCUGCCAUUCUCUGUUCCUCAGCCAGAAGUUGCUGAAGUUCCACUGUAGAGAAUUCCUCUGAAUGUUCCUCCACAAAUUCCUCAACAUCACCUGCACCUCAACGUCUACCUGCAAGACUUUGGAAUCUGCUAUAGGGUCUCAGAGUGAUAAACCAAGAGAGGCUUUAUAAUGAAGUUACCAACUGCAUUGGCACAUAGCAGUAAGUUUAGCCUAUCCUCCACAGGCUUGUGGCCUGUCAUUUUCUUCUCUUUCUGUGUAAUGUUUUCUGGUCAUUUUCUUCCAGAAAAGGCAAAUUUCAUCAAAGUUGAAAACUCGAUGACAGCAAAAGCCAUUUCUCUG
Long non-coding RNA from Heterocephalus glaber (naked mole-rat), 556 nucleotides. The record is from Ensembl. Lineage: Eukaryota; Metazoa; Chordata; Mammalia; Rodentia; Bathyergidae.